CAUGCGUAAUGGAUUUUUCAUGGAAAAUAUUUUAUUUUCAUGAGCGUAAUAUUUAAGUUUUCAUAUGUAAUACUGCUUCACUCCCUCAGAAUCAUGACCAGUUUUACUCAGUACUUUUCUAUUUUAUUGUUCUUUUAUUUAUUUUCCAUUCUACUAACGUAUUGUAAUUUUUUAUCGUACGUUUGUGCUUUUCUUCAUUUCCUCAUGUCCUCUUAUGUUUUUAUGCAUUUUAUCUGGACUCUAGCAGCAUUUUCAGUGUGUUUUUGACAUUUCUUAGACUCUGCUUUCUAGUUACUGAAGCAGAUUUUCAGCACCAAGAACAAUUAUUGAUUUUUCUGCCUCAGAUGAUUUUAAAAAUGUUUUUUUUUCUUUUUUGGCUCAGAAAAACUCCACCUUCAGGACUUCAGUGUGAAAAGGUCGGCUCUAAAAACAAACCUCUUUUUUUUUGACAUUUCACUGAUUUUCUUUUGGCAAAACUCAGCAGACUUUAGUUGUAUUUCUUCUAAAUGUAGCAGUAAAGAGUGUUCCAGACCAACUGUUCUGCUGGUUUUAACAGAAACGUUCCUGUUGCUGAUAAAAGUCCACGUCUGGAUUCGUCGUCUUCGCUCACUUAGAUUAAUGAAACUGACUCAGAGCCAAAAAAUCCAUGCACCUGAAACAGCAGAACUCAUCUGCUGUUUCUGCUCUCAGAUGCUUCAGAUCUACGGCAGCUUCGUGUCCUUCACUGUCUCCUCCUAGAGAAACACUUCAGCCUGAUUUAAGACCAACAGGAGCAACAGAAAGAGCAUUCAUCCUGGGAAUAUUUCCAGAGUUCCAGGUCCUUGAAGUCCAUAGAGGUGGGUCCAGAUUUAUCACUUUUUAAUGGACUUUUUCCAUCAUUUCUGAGCCUCAGAACUUCAUCAGUCCAGCAGAUAGACAUGGCAUUACCAAAUUACCACAAAAAGACAUAAAAUCAGCACAAAAAGAGCCAAAACUAACCUGAAAGAUUCAAAUAUGCCAACAAAAACAUGGAAAAUCACCACAAAAAGGACCAAAAUUACCAUAAAACAGGUGAGAUUGAGAAAAAAACUCAAAUUCGGCACAAAGAACUUGAAAAAUUACCAACAAAACGGCCAAAAGUACCACAAAGACACAAAAUCACCCAAAAAAGAGCCAAAACUACCCUGAAAGGUUUAAAUAUGCCAACAUGGACUUCAAAGACCUGGAACUCUGGAAAUAUUCCCAGGAUGAAGGUAGAACUCUGAUCAUUAAUAAAGUUACUGGAGAUAAAGAACCAGAUGUUCUGAGGAGGUUGUUGGUGGAACGUUUCCAGAUUUAUUAAUGAAUAACCCGGAUCUUAAUCUGAGUUUACUGCAGUUAAACUCUCAUUUAAAUGUUUUAACAGAGGAAGAAGUUUAUUUUCAACCUGUAGAGGAUUCAGACUGAAGUUUAAUGAACAGAAACAUGUUGAGUGUUUGACUCUAAAGCUGUUAUUGACUUUCACUUUUCUCAGUUUUCCUUUGACCUCCAUCAACUCAUAAACCAGAGAUAAAUGAUCAGCUAUUGGUAGAACGUUUGCCUGAUCUUCUGUUGGCUUCUUUAAAUUCCUCUCACAGAUUUUAAAUCCUCAGUAGGUGGAGGUCUGCAGUAGAACAGAGGAGAUGAGGGUUAAACCUGGACAGACCUGAGUCAGCAGCAGCUCCAGGUCAGAGCUGAAUGAUCAGGUUUUAUAUGCAACAGGUCUCAGAACACGACACGUUCUCCAGAGAAACAGGGAAAAGUGUUGACUUAAAGCAGCUCUCUGUGCUGGAGAACGUUUUAAAUGAAACCUGACAGAACAGCAGAACUCUAAAUCCAGCAGAACACGUUGUGAUUGUAGAUUGAUCAUAGAAUAACGGAUGAGCUCGCUCUCAUUGAUUAUGUUAAUUCUCUGACAUCUCCUCCGAUCGACGGACAGGAAAUCAACCAGCAGCGAUCGGCUGAUUUACAUCCUGACAAACGGUGAAGACGGAUGAACUGCAGAUCUACAGACAGAAGAGAUGUUGGUUUAUAUGAGCUGCAAUAAAACCACCGUUAUGGUUCCAUAAAUCUGUAAAUGAUUAAUAAGAGGUGACUGAAUAUUGUGUUGGUGUUGACAACAGUUUGAAUAUUAAAUUCAUUUGAAGGAUGAAAUCAUGA
This is a long non-coding RNA of Amphiprion ocellaris (clown anemonefish), 2157 nucleotides long. RefSeq lists it as uncharacterized. The record is from RefSeq and is a predicted model, not a curated record. The transcript is spliced from 2 exons. Lineage: Eukaryota; Metazoa; Chordata; Actinopteri; Pomacentridae.